Molecule: long non-coding RNA, 4201 nt
Organism: Nerophis ophidion (straightnose pipefish)
Lineage: Eukaryota; Metazoa; Chordata; Actinopteri; Syngnathiformes; Syngnathidae
Exons: 4
Source: RefSeq, a predicted model, not a curated record
CAGGAGAGAAGGCCUUGCUGGCCCCGAAGGCACACCACUGCAUGGGACAAUUCAACAAACUAGUGGAAUCCAAUCCAGAUUCACAAACGGCACUUUCCAAGUACUUCGAGGAAAAAAGCCAAGAUGCAAAGGAAAGAACUCCCUGUUCCUUGAAGCGCUGCCACGUAUCAGAGCUGGACGUGGGUGCCUUUCAGACACUUUGACGGAAAUGGAGUCUGCCGCCAACUCCAUGUUGAAGGGCCCCUCCAACUUCUCUGCAACCUGGUAGAGGGCGUCUGAUGGGAGACAGAGCAGGUCGGCCUGGUUAGCCAAGCAGCCUUUCAUCACGUUCAGGCACAAGGCACGGCAUGGACGCAGCGAGGGCAUUCCUCGACAAAGCGGGCAGUACCACUGACGCAUCAGGCCACGCACGCAUUCCGAGUCUGGGGUCAGCUGUGACACAUGAAUAAUACAGAACACUGGUAAAGUCCCUGUAACAGUACAACUGCACGUUCUUAUGUUAGUAGAACCUAAACUUUAAAGGGGAACAUUAUCACCAGACCUGCAGUGGGGCAAAAAAGUAUUUAGUCAGCCAGCGAUUGUGCAAGUUCUCCCACUUAAAAUGAUGACAGAGGUCUGUAGUUUUCAUCAUAGGUACACUUCAACUGUGAGAGACAGAAUGUGGAAUAAAUCCAGGAAUUCACAUUGUAGGAAUUUUAAAGAAUGUAUUUGGUGGAAAAUAAGUAUUUGGUCAACCAUUCAAAGUUCUCACUGAUGGAAGGAGGUUUUAGCUCAAAAUCUCACGAUACAUGGCCCCAUUCAUUCUUUCCUUAACACGGAUCAAUCGUCCUGUCCCCUUAGCAGAAAAACAGCCCCAAAGCAUGAUGUUUCCACCCCCAUGCUUCACAGUAGGUUUGGUGUUCUUGGGAUGCAACUCAGUAUUCUUCUUCCUCCAAACGCGACGAGUUUAGUUUAUACCAAAAAGUUUUAUUUUGGUUUCAUCUGACCACAUGACAUUCUCCCAAUCCUCUGCUGUAUCAUCCAUGUAUCCAUUUUGGUAUAAACUCAACUCGUCGUGUUUGGAGGAAGAAGAAGCCAUGUAUGAUGAUACCUUGUAUGAUGCCAUGUAUGAUGAUACCUUGUAUGAUGCCAUGUAUUAUGAUGCCUUGUAUGAUAAUGCCAUGUAUGAUAAUACCUUGUAUGAUAUGUGUGAUGAUACCAUGUAUGAAGAUACCACAUAUGAUGAUACCAUGUAUGAAGAUACCACAUAUGAUGAUAUCAUGUAUAUAGAUACCACAUAUGAUGAUACCAUGUAUGAAGACACCACAUAUGAUACUAUCAUGUAUGAUGACAUAUGAUGAUAUCAUGUAUGAUGAUCCAAUGUAUGAUACUACCAUGUAUGAUGCCAUGUCUGAUGAUACCUUGUAUGAUUCCAUGUAUGAUGAUGCCUUGUAUGAUGAUGCCUUGUAUGAUAAUACCUUGUAUGAUAUGUGUGAUGAUACCAUGUAUGAAGAUACCACAUAUGAUGAUACCAUGUAUGAAGAUACCACAUAUGAUGAUAUCAUGUAUAUAGAUACCACAUAUGAUGAUACCAUGUAUGAAGACACCACAUAUGAUACUAUCAUGUAUGAUGACAUACGAUGAUAUCAUGUAUGAUGAUCCAAUGUAUAAUACCAUGUAUGAUGAUACCAUGUAUUGAGAUACCACAUAUGAUGAUAUCAUGUAUGAUGACACCAUGUAUAAUGAUGCCAUGUAUGAUACCAUGUAUGAUGAUACCUUGUAUGAUAAUGCCAUGUAUGAUGCCUUGUAUGAUGAUGCCUUGUAUGAUGAUACAUGUAUGAUGAUGCCUUGUAUGAUAAUGCCAUGUAUGAUGCCUUGUAUGAUGAUGCCUUGUAUGAUAAUACCUUGUAUGAUAUGUGUUAUGAUACCAUGUAUGAAGAUACCACAUAUGAUGAUACCAUGUAUGAAGAUACCACAUAUGAUGAUAUCAUGUAUAUAGAUACCACAUAUGAUGAUACCAUGUAUGAAGACACCACAUAUGAUACUAUCAUGUAUGAUGACAUACGAUGAUAUCAUGUAUGAUGAUCCAAUGUAUGAUAAUACCAUGUAUGAUGAUACCAUGUAUUGAGAUCCCACAUAUAAUUAUAUCAUGUAUGAUGACGCCAUGUAUAAUGAUGGCAUGUAUGAUACCAUGUCUGAUGAUACCUUGUAUGAUAACAUGUGUGAUGAUACAUGUACGAAGAUACCACAUAUGAUGAUACCUGGUAUGAAUAUACCACAUAUGAUGAUACCAUGUAUGUAUGAAGAUACCUUAUAGGAUGAUACCAUGUAUGAUAUCCCGUGUGAUGAUACGAUGUAUGAAGAUACCAUGUGUGAUGAUACCAUGCAUGAUGAUACCAUGUGCGAUGAUACCACAUAUAAUGAUACCAUGUAUGAAGAUACCAAAUAUAAUGAUAUCAUAUAUGAUGAUGCUAUGUAUAAUGAUACCAUGAUGAUGAUGAUGUCAUGAAUGAUGAUACCAUGUAUGAAGAGCCCACAUAUGAUAUCAUGUAUGCUUAAGCCAUGUGUGAUGAUACCUUGUAUGAUGACGCCAUGUAUGAUGAUCCCACAUAUGAUGAUACCAUGUAUGAAGAUACCAUAUAUGAUGAGACCAUGUAUGAUGACACCACGUGUGAUGAUACCAUGUAUGAAGGUACCACAUAUGAUGAUAUCAUGUAUGAUGAUACCAAAUAUAAUGAUAUCAUAUAUGAUGAUGCUAUGUAUAAUGAUACCAUGAUGAUGAUGAUGUCAUGAAUGAUGAUACCAUGUAUGAAGAGCCCACAUAUGAUAUCAUGUAUGCUUAAGCCAUGUAUGAUGAUACCUUGUAUGAUAACAUGUGUGAUGAUACAUGUACGAAGAUACCACAUAUGAUGAUACCUGGUAUGAAUAUACCACAUAUGAUGAUACCAUGUAUGUAUGAAGAUACCUUAUAUGAUGAUACCAUGUAUGAUAUCCCGUGUGAUGAUACGAUGUAUGAAGAUACCAUGUGUGAUGAUACCAUGCAUGAUGAUACCAUGUGUGAUGAUACCACAUAUAAUGAUACCAUGUAUGUAGAUACCACAUAUAAUGAUAUCAUAUAUGAUGAUGCUAUGUAUAAUGAUACCAUGAUGAUGAUGAUGAUGAUGUCAUGAAUGAUGAUACCAUGUAUGAAGAGCCCACAUAUGAUAUCAUGUAUGCUUAAGCCAUGUAUGAUGAUACCUUGUAUGAUGACGCCAUGAUGAUGAUCCCACAUAUGAUGAUACCAUGUAUGAAGAUACUACAUAUGAUGAGACCAUGUAUGAUGAUAACACGUGUGAUGAUACCAUGUAUGAAGGUACCACAUAUGAUGAUAUCAUGUAUGAUGAUACCACAAAUAAUGAUAUCAUAUAUGAUGAUGCUAUGUAUAAAGAUACCAUGAUGAUGAUGAUGUCAUGAAUGAUGAUACCAUGUAUGAAGAGCCCACAUAUGAUAUCAUGUAUGCUUAAGCCAUGUAUGAUGAUACCUUGUAUGAUGACGCCAUGUAUGAUGAUCCCACAUAUGAUGAUACCAUGUAUGAAGAUACCACAUAUGAUAAUACCAUGUAUGAUGAUACAUGUAUGAUGAUACUUUGUAUGAUAACAUGUUUGAUGAUACAUGUAUGAAGAUACAACAUAUGAUGAUACCUUGUGUGAAUAUACCACGUAUGAUGAUACCAUGUAUGAAGACACCAUGUAUGAUGAUACCACAUAUAAUACCAUGUAUGAAGAUACCACAUAUGAUGAUGUCAUGUAUGAUGGUGCCAUCUAUAAUGACACGUCGUAUGAUAUCAUGUAUGAUGAUGUCAUGCAUGAUGAUACCCUGUAUGAUACCAUGUAUGAUGAUGCCAUGUAUGAUGAUACCUUGUAUGAUACCAUGUAUGAUGAUGCCAUGUAUGAUGAUACCUUGUAUGAUACCAUGUAUGAUGAUGCCAUCCAUGUAUGAUGAUACCAUGUAUGAUGAUGCCAUGUAUGAUGAUACCAUGUAUGAAGAUACCACUUAUGAUAUCAUGUAUGACAAUACCUUGUAUGACACCAUGUAUAAUGACGCUAUGUAUGAUGAGACCACUUAUGAUGAUACCACGUAGGAUGAUACCAUGUAUGAAAUUACCACACAUGAAGAUACCGCAUAUGAUGAUAUCAUGUAUGAUGAUACAUUAUAAUACAACAUUAUACAAAUUAAAAGUCAG